UUUCCGGUGGUCUAGUGGCUAAGACUCUGCACUCUCAAUGCAGGGGGCCUAGGUUCGAUACCUAGUCAGGAAAA
Bubalus bubalis (water buffalo) is the source of this 74-nucleotide non-coding RNA. The record is from the annotation of a RefSeq genome assembly. NCBI's taxonomy places the organism in Eukaryota, Metazoa, Chordata, Mammalia, Artiodactyla, Bovidae.